GAAUAUUGGUCAAUGGGCGCGAGCCUGAACCAGCCAAGUAGCGUGAAGGAUGACGGCCCUAUGGGUUGUAAACUUCUUUUAUAUGGGAAUAAAGUUUGGUAUGUAUACCAUUUUGUAUGUACCAUAUGAAUAAGGAUCGGCUAACUCCGUGCCAGCAGCCGCGGUAAUACGGAGGAUCCGAGCGUUAUCCGGAUUUAUUGGGUUUAAAGGGAGCGUAGGUGGAUUGUUAAGUCAGCGGUGAAAUGCCCCCGCUCAACGGGGUGAAGUGCCAUUGAUACUGCCUUGCUGGAAUGCGGAUGCCGUGGGAGGAAUGUGUGGUGUAGCGGUGAAAUGCAUAGAUAUCACACAGAACACCGAUUGCGAAGGCAUCUCACGAAUCCGCGAUUGACGCUGAUGCACGAAAGCGUGGGUAUCAAACAG
Molecule: ribosomal RNA, 420 nt
Filed under: uncultured bacterium
Lineage: Bacteria
Description: bacterial SSU rRNA
Rfam family: Bacterial small subunit ribosomal RNA
Source: RNAcentral